Molecule: ribosomal RNA, 754 nt
Filed under: uncultured Pacispora
Lineage: Eukaryota; Fungi; Glomeromycota; Glomeromycetes; Diversisporales; Pacisporaceae
Description: SSU rRNA
Rfam family: Eukaryotic small subunit ribosomal RNA
Source: RNAcentral
GCCUACCAUGGUUUUAACGGGUAGCGGGGAAUUAGGGUUCGACUCCGGAGAGGGAGCCUGAGAAACGGCUACCACAUCCAAGGAAGGCAGCAGGCGCGCAAAUUACCCAAUCCCGAUACGGGGAGGUAGUGACAAUAAAUAACAAUACAGGGCUCUUAUGGGUCUUGUAAUUGGAAUGAGUACAAUUUAAAUCUCUUAACGAGGAACAAUUGGAGGGCAAGUCUGGUGCCAGCAGCCGCGGUAAUUCCAGCUCCAAUAGCGUAUAUUAAAGUUGUUGCAGUUAAAAAGCUCGUAGUUGAAUUUCGAAAUUUUUUUAUCGGUUGAAUCAACAGGUUCGUACUGAUUUUAAGAAUUUCUACCUUCUGGAGAACCUUAAUGUCAUUUAUUUGAUGUUUUGGGAAACCAGGACUGUUACCUUGAAAAAAUUAGAGUGUUUAAAGCAGGCUUAUGUCUGAAUAUAUUAGCAUGGAAUAAUGAAAUAGGACGGCAUGGUUCUAUUUUGUUGGUUUCUAGGAUCACCGUAAUGAUUAAUAGGGAUAGUUGGGGGCAUUAGUAUUCAAUUGUCAGAGGUGAAAUUCUUGGAUUUAUUGAAGACUAACUUCUGCGAAAGCAUUUGCCAAGGAUGUUUUCAUUAAUCAAGAACGAAAGUUAGGGGAUCGAAGACGAUCAGAUACCGUCGUAGUCUUAACCAUAAACUAUGCCGACUAGGAAUCGGACGAAGUUAAUUUUUUAAUGACUCGUUCGGCGCCUUACG